RNAcentral lists this unclassified non-coding RNA (956 nucleotides) under Hevea brasiliensis (rubber tree). The record is from RNAcentral. Lineage: Eukaryota; Viridiplantae; Streptophyta; Magnoliopsida; Malpighiales; Euphorbiaceae.
GUGUGUGUGUGUGUGUGUUUUAGGCCUCUACAGAGUGUACUUAACGCAAUUUUCCUAGGAUUUUCUUUGGAAUAUGGUUCCUAAGGACCAGUAUUUUUGGAAAAGCUUUAUUAUUUAUUUUUUAUAUAUAUGAGGGACAUUGCACAAAACUAAUAAAGGAAUUUUUUUUCCUUCUUUAGUUUUUCUUUCCCCUAUUUUAACACUUGAAUUUCCAACCUGUUUUUGUUGGUGUUAAUGCUUAUUUAUUUAAGUGAUCUUACAGUUCUCUUUAGAUUUCAUCUUCUAAGCUGUAAUCUUAUAACUUUUAUUUGUUAAUUUCUAUUCAGGAUUUAUGGUAAUGCAGAUUUAAAACCCAGUAAAAUCAAAUGUGAAUUUUCACAAGAACUUCUAUUUAACUGCUGUACUUGUUCAAGAAUUAGUAGGGAACUAGAACAAAUUUGUUCAAUAAAGGAAAUAGGAUUUGGGUGUAAUAACAUGCCCAUGGUUGACAUUGUUAUAGUAUUUCAUUCAUUCUCUAUUCAUACCCCUCUUCAGCUUCUCUUCUGCAAUUAUUUUAAUAAUAAGAACAAUGAAACUUUAUUAUUAUUGAUGGUACUUGGUUCCAAUACUGUGUCUACAUUGGAUCACCCAUCAUGAGGACAAUUUUGUUGGCGGAUGCUCCAGCGAUUUCUUCUCCUUGAUGGUGCAUAUUGGUCAUAUUCAACACGACACUUUUGCCAGCUAAAAAAUAAAAAACAAACAUUAAAGCAUAAAUAAAAAAUCAGUUCUAAAUGAAUUUCCUUGAAAAUCUUGUCUGAAUGGUUUGUGCAAGUGCUUUUUAUUGCGUAGAUUUUCAAUUUAAAGUAUUUGUGAAUAGGUUUCCUAAGAUCUAAUUGAACUUUCUCAAGUGGCUUCAUAAGUUUAUACUAUUUUAUUACUUAUCUUACAACUUCUUUUUGUACAUGAAGCCUAUGGCA